Molecule: non-coding RNA, 3400 nt
Organism: Heterocephalus glaber (naked mole-rat)
Lineage: Eukaryota; Metazoa; Chordata; Mammalia; Rodentia; Bathyergidae
Source: RefSeq, a predicted model, not a curated record
GUUGUGGGUGUCAGGUAUUGUGUCUUAGUGACAAGAAAGUAACCAAGACAAUAUCUAAAUCUAAAAAAGUUGGUCUCACAGUGGAGAAAACAGAAUAUUCUGCUUUACCAGAGGUUGAAGAGGGAAGGAGGGGAAAUAAGGAGAGGUUGGUUACAGUUAGAAAGAGUAAGUUUGGAUGUGCUACUGCACAAUAGGGUAAUGUGGAUAAUGAUAAUGUAUUGUUUCAAAAUAGCUAGAUUUUGGAUAUCCUCAACAAAAAGAAAUGAUGUUUGAGAUGCUCGAUAUGCUAAUUACCCUGAUUUGAUUAUUAUACAAUGUAUACUUGUAUGUCUCACAUUAUAUCCCACAAACAUAGAUUUAUGUGUCAAUUAAAAAGAAUAUAAAGCUUUUUAAAAAUGCAGUCUUUGGUUGUAUUCUUGAUCUCCUGGAUUGGUAUUGUUAGAGGAAGGAUACCCAGAACUCUGCGUUUUUAAUAUGGAAACAAGAACCAGUGCUGUGUCUAUGGGGCUGGCAGAGGCGCGCGGGGCGGCGCUGCGGCGCGUGCGUCACGGAGAGAGCGCUGGGUUGCAGCCCAUCUGGACCGAGAGGCGCGGCCCUGCCUCCCGCCGGCUGCAGCGGCUCCUGCGCUGCGUCCGAAGUGAGAGGCCUGGGCCGAGUCCGCCGCGGCCGCCGCCCAACUCAGGCCUAAGCAGGGCAGGUGUGCGGCGCCUCCAUCUUGGGAGGGACCCCGCCCCCACCCGCGAACCCCGCGUGGCAGCUGCCGCCCCCGCCCCACUGCAGCCCGCUCGCUCGCCGACCCGCAGGGCCCGGUCCCCGCUGCCCUGACGCCUGGAGUGCCUUCAGCCACCUGGGAACAGGCGCACAGCACCAUUGGCCCUUCCUUCCUAAACUGCAAGGAGGUGUCUCUGGCCCUUCCUUCCAGGUGCCUGCCCUGGGAUUCCGUCCUCUGUCCUGGUGCCCAGUUCCAAGCUGCUCUGUUUAACUCCAGCUAGGUGUGGUGGUGCAUGCCUAUAAUCCCAGCACUCAGGAAGAUGAUGCAGGAGGAUCAUCAUGUGUUCAAGGCCAGCCUGGACUACAUAGGAUCGAACUCAGGACCUUGCACUUGUGAGGCAGGCAGUGGAACCACUGAGCUAAAUCCCCGGCCCCCCACUGAUUGCUUUGGACUGCCACCAUCUGGGACGGUGAGAAAAUGAAAGCUGAGCAUGGUGGUCCACGUCUGUCAUCCCAGCACUCAGGAGACUGAGAUGGAGAAGGAGUCACAGCCCAGAGGACCCCCAGUGGAUAUGAGCCCAGAGCCCACACAGGGUCCUCCACAUGGUCCUGGACCACAGAAGGACACAAAGGGAAACCUGCACAACUCGAUCCAAGUGUGACGCUGAGUUAAUGGCGCUACACGGAUUUCUCCAUGGCAUCUGGCUUUGCGUUAGUAAGUCCUAGUCCCUGUCCAGCAGCGCUCUCUGAUCCUGUCCGUCCAUCUCUCAGUGUGGAGAUUCUGCUGUCCUCAGGAAAGAGGCUGAUAUCAGGAGAAGCUAGAGGACGAGUGACCAAGAAUCCUGCUGCACCUUUGUCCCUUUCCCUGAAAUCUCAAAUCACUCCAAAGCAAAGUUGUUUUGUUUUCUUUAAAGCUGUCCCCACGGAUUAGAAAAGACCAACAUGUCAUUGUCUAUCAUUUUCUUUCCUUUUUCUCCCUCUCCCCCACCUCCCUGGCCUGGGGAUGGAACCCAGGGCCUUCCCACUGAGCUCCAUCCCCAGCCCUUUUUAUUUUUUAUUUAGAGACAGGGCCUUGCUAAGUCACCAAGCUGCCCAGGCUGGGCUUGAACUUGGGAUUCUCCUGCCUCAGCCUCUCAGUGUGCUGGGAUGACAGUUAUGCGCCACUGUGCCGGGCUUGGCUCCAUGAUUCCAUAAACAUUUAUUUGGCACCUACUAUGGGCUGUGGGCUAAGCUGCUGGGCUGCAUCCAAGUGGGGGCAAAAAGAUGACCACAGAAUUACAGAGUAUAAUAUGACAUGCACUUGUUGAAUUUAGGAGCAGAAUAGAGCAGGGGAUAGAGACAGAACAGAGGGGAAAUGACUAUAUAUAGUCAGUCAGGGGAGGCGUGGCCUUAAUGCCAUGUGAGCUGAGGACAGAUGGAUGACACAAAACCAUUUGGGUGAAGGGGAGAUGGAACAAAAUCCCAGGAAGCCACGCAGCCCAUGCAAAGGCCCUGGGGCAGCAUGGAGUUCUAAGGUGUAGGAGCAUCAAGGAGCCCUUGCAGCUGGAACAGAGGGAGUGAGGGGCAGAGAGGGAGCAGGGGAGGCAGGGAGGGGAUGGCGGCCGUACAAAUACGUUUGGUCUGCAGGGAGGAUUUGAGGUUGGGCCCCAGGCAAGUGGGAGCCCUGGAGGGCUGAGGGCGGAGGGGGGAGGACCUGACUCAGUGCUCACGGUGCCCUCUGGUGGCAGCUGCGGGAGGACAGGCUGCGGGAGGACAGGCUGCGGGUGAAUGUCGUGCUGCGUAGCUGGCUCAUUGGGAUGAUUCCUUUGGUGCAGUAAAUACCAGCUCGCCCUCCAGCUACUUCCGCUGCAGUCUAAGGAGCACAGGAUGAUUCGAAAUCCUACUUUCUAUGUGACAACCAUGAGGCACAGAGAGGCCAAGCACCUCGUCCAGGUACACAGCUGGAGAGCAGCAAGGCAGCUCCUUCCUAAAUGCUCCCAUAGACAUUGCAGAUUCUCCAGGCAGAGGAGGUGAUGGGAGUGGCUGGAGGACAUGCCUAGUCUGGGGCGACUUCCUGGAGGUGGAGACAUUGAAACUCAGAGCUAAAGGACCAACUGGAGGCACAUAGCUGCCCUGGGGGAGAAAAGACCCACUGCGGAGUUGCAUGGACAAAGGCAGUGGAUGCGGCCUGGGAGCUGGUAGACGUCGUUUUCCCUGCCUGUCGCCUCCCUACACUCCCCACCUGACCCAGAGACCCCGCCCCACAGACUGGGUGGCUGUGCACUGACCCCGCCCUAGCCGCUACAGCUGGUAACAAUCCCCACAAAGGGGUCAUUAAGCCACCCAGCUGGGGUGGCCAAUAGCAGCAUAGGCACUAUUUUAAUUUUCCACUGAUUUGUCUGCAGUGGGUCCCAGCACUGGGCCAUGUGUGUGUCUGGGUGGGGGAGGGGGAUAUCAGGUCCUGGAGCUGGGAGUGGGGUGGGGGGCAAAGGACAGAAAGGGCUUGGGUGGGCGGAGGCCACUGGGAAGGUUUCUGGAGUCCAUAAAGCUCUGCUGUCCCAUCCUAGGGCUGCUCAGGGACAUGUGGGGCCCUUUGCCCUGAAUGCUGUGGGUGACCAGUUCUGUGUCAACUGCACUCACCUGUCCCAGCCCCAGCCAGCCAGCCAGCCACUUAUCCAUCCAUCCAUCCAUCCAUCCAUCCAUCCACCCA